GAGUCUUGCUUUUUUCCUUCACUUCCCCCACCUUAACAGAACAGGGUCUCAACUGCUACCUCCUCAGCUGACCUACCUGCAAGCACCAUGUGCAGGACUGGAGAAUUCCCCACCCAGCACAUCACAUCUACUGCCAACAUGAACACACACCACUCAAGACCCACAGAAUCAUCGCACUACUGCUUCUGCCAUCGCCUAUGCUACGCUGGCUGCCAGGUGACUCAGAACAUACUUUAUGACCCAGUCCACUGCUGCCACUACCAGCAUCUGAGCAAGCCAUCUGGAGGCCCAAAAAUCAGACCUCUGGUAUCCACAAGUACAGGUGGCACCAUACAUCACCCUGGGGCACAAAGAUGGGGAUAUGUAACCCACCACUGUCAUCACUGGGGCCUGGAGACUGACCCACUGUCAUCUUAGUCUCCAACAGAACAGCACCACAAGACCUAAGAAGCUACAGGAAGGUGCCAUUUUCAAAGCUAACCUCUGAUAAACUGCACACUGUUCUACAGGCCAGCAGCACCAAGACUGAGACAUUGCAAAAGCUCAAGCUAUCACUGCUAGGAUGAGGAGUGAGAUGGGACCAUUCCCAUAGCCAGGGCGAAGAAGCAAGCAAGACAUGAGCUGCAGCAGCCAGUGCUAGGAAGCAAGUGCUACACUAAUGACUGUACCCCACCCACACAGAUAUCACCAAUGCAGUUUAGAGUCAAAGAAAUCGUACAAAAACUACACUACUGCAUGCACUCAGAAUUAAAGCCAAAGUACCUUACCACCACACUGGUCCUGAUAUGAUUAAGAUGUGAUGUCUUAGUCUUGCUGUUGCUGGCCUAUAGGACAAUGUGCAGUUUACAAGAGGCUAGCUUUGAAAAUGGCACCUUCCUGUAGCUUCUUAGGUCUUGUAAAUGGUGUGGGAGCCCCCUCCCUGGAGCGGCUCUGUACCUUGGUCUCCCAUCAACUUCCUAUGUCACUUUCAGGGCUUGGGAUGGUCAAGAGGCUCUCCUGUGGCUAGGAUUGCAUGAUCUGGUGGUAGGGAUGUGGGCUGCUCAAAGUCUGUCACUCACCCUUUCCUCAUGUUGGUAAGUCACUACCAGCUCCUAGCCAAGUCUGGCCAGCGAUGUUGCCUCUCUUCUUCUGUCCCCACUCUUGGUUUUUCCUGUCUCUUCUGUGUUGAAUAUCAACAUUCUGUCUUGGAUAACAUAUAUGAAGUGUGACUGUCUAUACACUAUUCCAGUUCUUCUAAGUGGAGCCAUAAAAUCCUACUCAACCAUCUUAAACCUUUCUCCCCUAUUUGAUUAGUCUUCUAUUAUCUAUACUUUCCCUUCCCUCAAAAAUUGAUAUUUUAAGUGGUUCUAAGUUAUUUGCUUUACACAUUCUUUUUAAAAUCUAUUUUUAAUUCACUUUAUUUAUUUAUUUUUCUUGUGUUUUACACAUUCUAACUCCCCAUACAAACCAUCCACUCUUUGGCUUCAGUGUUAUCUAUUUGCAGGUGACUUCCAG
This is a long non-coding RNA of Sapajus apella (tufted capuchin), 1494 nucleotides long. RefSeq lists it as uncharacterized. Lineage: Eukaryota; Metazoa; Chordata; Mammalia; Primates; Cebidae. The transcript has 3 exons. The record is from RefSeq and is a predicted model, not a curated record.